RNAcentral lists this ribosomal RNA (527 nucleotides) under uncultured Hanseniaspora. RNAcentral's name for it is "eukaryotic LSU rRNA". It matches the Rfam family "Eukaryotic large subunit ribosomal RNA", at positions 62 to 591 of the family's 3401-position model. Lineage: Eukaryota; Fungi; Ascomycota; Saccharomycetes; Saccharomycodales; Saccharomycodaceae. The record is from RNAcentral.
AAACCAACUGGGAUUACCUUAGUAACGGCGAGUGAAGCGGUAAAAGCUCAAAUUUGAAAUCUGGUACUUUCAGUGCCCGAGUUGUAAUUUGUAGAAUUUGUCUUUGAUUAGGUCCUUGUCUAUGUUCCUUGGAACAGGACGUCAUAGAGGGUGAGAAUCCCGUUUGGCGAGGAUACCUUUUCUUUGUAAGACUUUUUCGAAGAGUCGAGUUGUUUGGGAAUGCAGCUCAAAGUGGGUGGUAAAUUCCAUCUAAAGCUAAAUAUUGGCGAGAGACCGAUAGCGAACAAGUACAGUGAUGGAAAGAUGAAAAGAACUUUGAAAAGAGAGUGAAAAAGUACGUGAAAUUGUUGAAAGGGAAGGGCAUUUGAUCAGACAUGGUGUUUUUGCAUGCACUCGCCUCUCGUGGGCUUGGGCCUCUCAAAAAUUUCACUGGGCCAACAUCAAUUCUGGCAGCAGGAUAAAUCAUUAAGAAUGUAGCUACUUCGGUAGUGUUAUAGCUUUUUGGAAUACUGUUAGCCGGGAUUUGA